AGCAGCCGCGGUAAUUCCAGCUCCAAUAGCGUAUAUUAAAGUUGUUGCAGUUAAAAAGCUCGUAGUUGAAUUUCGGGAUUGACACAUCGGUCGUGCCUUAAGGGGUAUGAACUGGUGUAGUCAAUUUCUCACCUUCUGGAGAACCGCGAUGCCCUUAAUUGGGUGUCGCGGGGAACCAGGACCUUUACUUUGAAAAAUUAGAGUGUUUAAAGCAGGCAUUUUGCUUGAAUACAUUAGCAUGGAAUAAUAAAAUAGGACGGCAUGAUUCUAUUUUGUUGGUUUCUAGGAUCACCGUAAUGAUUAAUAGGGAUAGUUGGGGGCAUUAGUAUUCAAUUGUCAGAGGUGAAAUUCUUGGAUUUAUUGAAGACUAACUACUGCGAAAGCAUUUGCCAAGGAUGUUUUCAUUAAUCAAGAACGAAAGUUAGGGGAUCGAAGACGAUCAGAUACCGUCGUAGUCUUAACCAUAAACUAUG
Molecule: unclassified non-coding RNA, 473 nt
Filed under: uncultured Glomus
Lineage: Eukaryota; Fungi; Glomeromycota; Glomeromycetes; Glomerales; Glomeraceae
Description: SSU rRNA
Rfam family: Eukaryotic small subunit ribosomal RNA
Source: RNAcentral